CGAAUGGCGUAAUGAUGGCCAGGCUGUCUCCACCCGAGACUCAGUGAAAUUGAACUCGCUGUGAAGAUGCAGUGUACCCGCGGCAAGACGGAAAGACCCCGUGAACCUUUACUAUAGCUUGACACUGAACAUUGAGCCUUGAUGUGUAGGAUAGGUGGGAGGCUUUGAAGUGUGGACGCCAGUCUGCAUGGAGCCGACCUUGAAAUACCACCCUUUAAUGUUUGAUGUUCUAACGUGGGCCCCUUACCGGGGUUGCGGACAGUGUCUGGUGGGUAGUUUGACUGGGGCGGUCUCCUCCUAAAGAGUAACGGAGGAGCACGAAGGUUGGCUAAUCCUGGUCGGACAUCAGGAGGUUAGUGCAAUGGCAUAAGCCAGCUUGACUGCGAGCGUGACGGCGCGAGCAGGUGCGAAAGCAGGUCAUAGUGAUCCGGUGGUUC
RNAcentral lists this ribosomal RNA (437 nucleotides) under Escherichia coli. RNAcentral's name for it is "partial 23S ribosomal RNA". It matches the Rfam family "Bacterial large subunit ribosomal RNA", at positions 1993 to 2429 of the family's 2925-position model. The record is from RNAcentral. Lineage: Bacteria; Pseudomonadati; Pseudomonadota; Gammaproteobacteria; Enterobacterales; Enterobacteriaceae.